CCCAGGCUGUUAGGAAAGAUAGCAUUCAUGACAUUAAAGUUCGGUACCUCUUAAUUUUUUAUAAUCAACUAGUUUCUUUAAGUCGAUGAAGAACAUGGAAAGGACUAGGGUGACUGAGUAACUACACCGAUUCCCAGUUUAUACACGGGAGAAGCACAGCUUUACUGUGUACACGCCACACUUCAGUUCCAGCUUUGGGAGCUUUCUUUCCAGCUCUUUAUUACCUUUCAAGUGAUCACUGGCUGGAGGCAAGGGAGAACAGCAGGGACAAGGCACUAACCGUUCCACAGGCUGAAGCAGAGUUUUAAUUGAUAGAUUAAACAGGAAAGGUUAGCGGAGGCCAGGCCACAAAGGUCUUGUUAAGUCAACUAAGACAUUAAGUAGACUUGAUUUCAAGGACAAUGACCAUUUAAAAGCAACUACUCAGGUGUUAACGGAAAUGUUCUAAGUAGGAAAGUAGCAUGAUAUUUUCCGGAAGACAGUGCUGGCUGAACGGGGGAAUGGACAGAAGGAGAGACAGACCGCCAAAGACUAUGGACUUGAAUUAGGUAUUAUGGAGAAAAAUCAUAGUUGUCAGGAGCUUCACAUGUCCAGUCAACAGGAUUUGGAGUGGUUAGAUGUGGAAAGUGAUGGAAAGGGAGUAUUUCAAAAUAACUUUUUUUUGGCAUCGGCAACUACAUGAAUGGCGUGACAUUCAUUGUGCCAGGCUGCUGGGGCAGGUGGGAAUGAUGGGUUUAAGAGGAAUUAAAUUUUAUGUAUACUGAAUUAUUUACAGGACAUCCACUUGGAAACCUCCAACAUACACUGAGAUACCUUUAUCUGCUGCUGCGGAGUGAUACCUGGGCUGGGCCAGAGACACAACUAUGGGAGUUUUUCACUGCGAAAAGCAACCAAAGCCAAGAGAGUCAGAAGAUCCAGAACACCAAGCACUACGGGUCAAGCUAAAGAUCGACUCCAUGACUGCUCAUAGAGAUCUAUAAACACUUACUGGGAGAAGCUGAGGACCUAGCAGGAAGAUAAGCAUGACCCUUUGAUGUAUUAUUGGCAAAAGAAAACCAGGAUCAAUUGGGAAAAUUGUGUCGAUUUCUGUUUUGACUGCUCGGUGGACCUGCCUUCUUACUUAUUCCAGUGACCAUGUAACUGUCAUAGCCUACUAAACUCAUCUCAAGACUGAAAGUGGAGACAGCUGUGCCUCCAUGUGGAUUAAUUAUCAGGGAUGGAAACAUCUGUGUCAAAAUAACCAUUGUGGAAAAUUCUUGCUCAAAAAGGUGACUCAUAUACUUAAAAAUUUAUUCAGAGCCUGUGCUACAUGUGGGAAGAAGAUGAAGCCAGGAGUCCUAAGAUGAGAAGCUCAAAACCUAGCUGGGAACAGAAGACAUAUAUGAGCAUGAAAAUCUGACUUUAUGUAUGCUUGAAAAUGUGAUUAUAAAAUGACAUCCCUCAUUCUUCUAGGGAAUGCAAUAAGAUGAUAACUGUGGGGAAUGUGGUGAAGUACACCUUCUUAGAAAAGCAACUUACCUAAUUUAGCCAUCUUUUCAGAGUGUUUUCUGUUCUGAAAAGAAUAAACUUUAUUCCCACCA
Mustela lutreola (European mink) is the source of this 1580-nucleotide long non-coding RNA. RefSeq lists it as uncharacterized. The transcript has 4 exons. The record is from RefSeq and is a predicted model, not a curated record. Lineage: Eukaryota; Metazoa; Chordata; Mammalia; Carnivora; Mustelidae.